Molecule: transfer RNA, 74 nt
Filed under: Nitrosomonadaceae bacterium
Lineage: Bacteria; Pseudomonadati; Pseudomonadota; Betaproteobacteria; Nitrosomonadales; Nitrosomonadaceae
Description: tRNA-Met
Rfam family: tRNA
About the family: Transfer RNA (tRNA) molecules are approximately 80 nucleotides in length. Their secondary structure includes four short double-helical elements and three loops (D, anti-codon, and T loops). Further hydrogen bonds mediate the characteristic L-shaped molecular structure. tRNAs have two regions of fundamental functional importance: the anti-codon, which is responsible for specific mRNA codon recognition, and the 3' end, to which the tRNAs corresponding amino acid is attached (by aminoacyl-tRNA synthetases). tRNAs cope with the degeneracy of the genetic code in two manners: having more than one tRNA (with a specific anti-codon) for a particular amino acid; and 'wobble' base-pairing, i.e. permitting non-standard base-pairing at the 3rd anti-codon position.
Source: RNAcentral
GGGUCUGUAGCUCAGUUGGUUAGAGCAGGGGACUCAUAAUCCAUUGGUCCGGGGUCCAAGUCCCUGAGGGCCCA